AUGGAGUCGAAACUGAUCUGGGUUUUCCUUGUUGCUCUUUUAAAAGAUAUCCAAUGUGAAGUGCAGCUGGUGGAGGCUGGAGGAGGAUUGGUACAGCCUGGGGGUUCCCUGAAACUCUCCUGUGCAGCCUCUGGAUUCACCUUCAGUGACUAUUAUAUGGACUGGAUCUGCCAGGCUCCAGGGAAUGGACUGGAAUGGAUUGCAGUGAGUAGAAACAAAGCUAAUGGUUACACAACAGAGUACAGUGCAUCUGUGAAAGGCCGGUUCACCAUCUCCAGAGAUGAUUCCAAAAACACCCUCUACCUGCAAAUGAACAGCCUGAAAGCUGAGGACACUACCACUUACUACUGGGCAAGACACACAGUGAGAGGACUUCAGUGUGAUCCCAGACAGAAAUCUCCUUGCAGGGGCGAGAGAAAAAGGCCAAGAUGUAUUAUUUAUCCACAUACUACUUUUCUCAGGAAAGUUCUCUGCAACAUAUAA
Onychomys torridus (southern grasshopper mouse) is the source of this 483-nucleotide non-coding RNA. The record is from the annotation of a RefSeq genome assembly. NCBI's taxonomy places the organism in Eukaryota, Metazoa, Chordata, Mammalia, Rodentia, Cricetidae.